This is an RNA transcript of Oncorhynchus nerka (sockeye salmon), 1500 nucleotides long. It is a transcript of the gene named high mobility group protein B2-like, with no coding region annotated. NCBI's taxonomy places the organism in Eukaryota, Metazoa, Chordata, Actinopteri, Salmoniformes, Salmonidae. The record is from RefSeq and is a predicted model, not a curated record. The transcript has 5 exons.
AGCUCUAAAAACAUUUAAUCAAGUUUGUGCGAACUGUCUCCCACUCACAAAACAGUGCGAAGGACUUUACAUUGGCACUCAUUGUAUUUGUGUGGCUGGAUAAUAGAAUAUAGCAGCCAUGCCGGGUAAAGAUCCUAAUAAGCCGAAGGGAAAGACUUCUUCCUAUGCGUUCUUUGUUGCGACGUGCCGGGAAGAACACAAGAAAAAACACCCAGGAACUUCAGUGAACUUUUCCGAGUUCUCAAAGAAAUGCUCAGAGAGGUGGAGGACAAUGUCUGCAAAAGAGAAGGUGAAGUUUGAGGACAUGGCCAAGGGUGACAAAGUCCGUUAUGACAAGGACAUGAAGGGUUAUGUGCCCCCAAGGGAUCUAAGGCAGCAGGAAAGAGAAAGAAGGACCCCAAUGCCCCCAAAGGCCACCUUCUGCAUUUUUUUGUGUUCUGUGCUGAACACCGUGGAAGAAUCAAGGCUGAUAACCCAGGCAUGGGCAUUGGUGACAUCGCCAAGCAGCUGGGUCUGCUGUGGGGCAAGCAGACUCCCAAAGACAAGCAGCCACACGAAGCAAAGGCCGCCAAGCUGAAGGAAAAGUAUGAGAAGGAUGUUGCUGCCUACAAGGCUAAGGGAGGCGCAGGUGCAACUGCUAAGAGUGGCCCUGGCAGGCCAGCUGUUGGCAAGAAGGCAGCGCCCAUGGAUGAUGAUGACGAUGAUGAUGACGAAGAGGAGGAGGAUGAUGAGGAAGAGGAUGAUGACGAGGAUGACGACUAAACUGCCUGGAAACUUGAGCUGGAGUAUUUGCAAAACAAUGUGAACCUUACAAUGUAACAUUUAUAGCAUUUUGGAUUUUUCAGAACAUGUACAGUGAUGUGCAAUGGCUGCAAUAAUGCAUACAGGGGUCAUAUUGUGCUGUCUUGUGAAUGAACAGCUCUUAUUCUCAAAGCACUGCUUGUUUUGUCUUUGGAUGGUGGCAUGUUCUUUUCCGCCCUAUAUUGAUAUCGUUUCCACUGCCGUUUUUAAGAAAUACAAGAAAAUGUGUAGACGUUUGCGACCCAUUUUUAACGUGGAGUUUCAGUGUAGAAUGAUUUCUUUUUAUAAUAAAAUUUUGUUUUGUAUAUUAUGAUUAACUUCCUUGCCUUGUUGAUGACAAGUUAGAUUAGGGAUGUGAUUAGACAACUAGUCCAAUUCAGGUUUUUUUUUUUUUCACACCCCACUAACUGGUCUUUCAGAGCUGAUCAUUUAAAAGCCCGCUUGGCAGGGGAAAAAAAUCUGAAUUGGCUGUGUAAAAGCCAAAUGUACUCCAUGUUGGUUAGCUAAUAGUUUCAAGGUAGUGACCUAUUCAAUUGCACUAAAACUUCAAUGAUAUAGCUUAAUACUCAGGCAAUUCAUGAAGUAUACUGAACAAAAUAAAUGCAACAUGUUGGGUUUCAUGAGCUGAAAUAAAAGCUCAUUUUCUGUGUAUUUCUAUUUACCCAUUUAGGGAGCAUAUUAAACAAUACAUUAAAGGCC